GAUGAACGCUGGCGGCGUGCCUAAUACAUGCAAGUCGAGCGAACGGACGAGAAGCUUGCUUUUCUGAUGUUAGCGGCGGACGGGUGAGUAACACGUGGAUAACCUACCUAUAAGACUGGGAUAACUUCGGGAAACCGGAGCUAAUACCGGAUAAUAUUUUGAACCGCAUGGUUCAAAAGUGAAAGACGGUCUUGCUGUCACUUAUAGAUGGAUCCGCGCUGCAUUAGCUAGUUGGUAAGGUAACGGCUUACCAAGGCAACGAUGCAUAGCCGACCUGAUAGGGGGAGAGCCCAAAUGGAAACGGAAACACGGCCCAGCUCCCUACGGAAGGCAGAAGUGGGGAAUCUUCCGCAAGGGGCGAAAGCCUGACGGAGCAACGCCGCGGGAGUGAGGAAGGCCUUCGGAUCGUAAACUCUGUUAUUAGGGAAGAACAUAUGUGUAAGUAACUGUGCACAUCUUGACGGUACCUAAUCAGAAAGCCACGGCUAACUACGUG
Molecule: ribosomal RNA, 496 nt
Filed under: uncultured bacterium
Lineage: Bacteria
Description: partial 16S ribosomal RNA
Rfam family: Bacterial small subunit ribosomal RNA
Source: RNAcentral